UUGUAACUGGGAAUGUGUGGAAUUGGGGGUGGGUGGGUGAGAAGGAUGAAUCCUGACUACUGAGCUAGGGAUAAAGGGCAAAGGACACUGAGCAGGCUCUUGUAAUAAUCCAGGCAAGCACUGAUGUGCUUUGGACCAUGAUGGUGGCAGUGGAAGUAGCAAGAAGUGAUUGGAUUCUCAAUAUAUUUGGGCAGCAGAACUUACAGGGUUCCCAAACAGGAUGAAUGUGGGUUGUAAGAAAAGAAGGGGAGCAAAGGACAGCUUCCAAGUUUUUGUUUCAAAGUAUUGUUAAUUACCAAGACAUGGAAGACUAUGGAGGGAACAUUUUUAAAUGACAGAAAACAGGAGUUCAAUUUGGGGCAUGUUAAAUAUGAGAGGAUUUUUAGAGAUCAGGUUGAGAUGUUGAGAAGGCAUUUGGACAUGUUAGCCUGGAGUUUAGGAGCAUUUGGUAUAUAUAAACUUGGAAGUCAGCAAUAAAUUGUAAUGGCAAACAAAUCCUCCUGCCUUGUAUACACAAGAGAGAUAUUAGGGGGAGUUGGGAGGACAGCUUCUAAAUAUUUGUUGGAUGAAUCAAUAAAUGGAAUGAAUUAUUUUUUCCAGCUGUACAUGGAGUUUGUUUAAGCCGUUUGUAUUGAACAGUUUGCAAUGUGAUCAACAGGACAUAUUUGGGGAAUAAUCGAGUAGGCCAGUGGUUCUUGGUGUGAGCUGGGAGAACUUUUGCAAUUGGAGAUGUUGUGAAAUCCUCUAGGGACUUUCUCAAGUUACACCACCAUUCUUGGUUGAAAUUGUUGUGGUGGGGAAAUUUUUUUUGAGAACCAUCGAGUUAGUGCUAGCAUAGAAUCUAACAAGAAAUGGCCCUGCAUCCAUUCUCUUUUCUUCUAAUAACAGCCCCAGAUUUCCAUUUUUGGACCUACCUUUUCCUUUUUAUCAGGCUAAGUGUUCAUGGUGGGGCUCUGUCCUUAGUUCCAGGGAUAAAGCCUGUGACCCAAACUUAAACCGCAGAUCAUUUUCCCCAGGCCAUGGAGAUUGUUUCAAAUGUGGGCACAUGGCCUGAAUGGGUCAUAUCAGAGUAAAUCUUAGGGCUUCUGGGUUAUGCCACCAUCACAGGCUCUUGCUUUCCUCACUGAACUUGAACCUAGACGGAUGUAAGCUGGAGCUGUGGCAGCCAUCAUUGCCCUGUGAAAAGUCCACUUGGAGCUGCCAAAGACCACCCCAGGAGCUUCAGAAUGAAGACAACCUGGAAGUCAGAGCUGACAGGGAGCCUGAAGAAAGCAUAUCUAAUUCCACACACAAAAACAACAGAUUUCAAUUGGAAUUUAAUUAUGUAUAUAUCCAUUUUGGAAGAAUGUAUAUCUUCAUAGUGAUCUGAGGAAAUGUUUUCUCUUUUAUCCUACGCUAUCUGUAGUUGACCACAAUCUGGUAGAUUAUGCAUUUGUAAACAGAAAUAAAGCAUUUGAUUUUCUCCCUACCUAAUCCCUCCAGAAUUUGAAAAUGAUGAGUGAGUAUUCUUACAUUCAUGACCAUAGUUGUUUGUAUAGGUCCAAUAAGAAUCUAUCUGUUUGUAACAGGACACAAUGGAAAACAUUGGUUACAUUACCAAAGCUUUGGAAUGUAAUUUUUAGAAUGUCAUAGAAUCAGAUAUGACUACACAGUUUUAAGAAACUAAGGAUGACUUUGUGGGGCGAAUAAGGCCCCUUAAAAAACCCCCAGCCUGGUACCUUGCUCACAGAGUUCCUAGCCUUAUAGUUGAGUAAAGAAGGUAACUUUCAUGCAGGCCCAGGAGCCUUAAAAAUAUUUUGGAGACCUCGAGAACAGAGGAACUCACCCAAAUCUAGAGGUGUUACAGGCAAAAUCUAAUGACAAGCUCUUGGCUUGGCUUCCUAGACUUGAGAGGCUUUUAGAUUCCUUAUUAGCAGUUCCAGCAAAGCAGACUUAAAAAGAGCCUAUACGAUCAAUCACUAUUCUUGCUGCAUUAUAUAAAUAAUCAAGACAAGUUUAAUGUGACUAGACUUAUUUUGUAAAAAAAUUAGUCUUACUGUGAUUAUGUUUGGUAAAAGUGGGAGUGACUGUGGAGAGAAAAAUUAUAUUAACAAAAACUAUAGUGUACCCGUUAUUGGAUUCUAGUACUGUUCAUUGUCUUUGAAGUUUUGUUAUCUAUAUGUAGAAUGGAUUAGAUAUUAAACUCUAAUUUCCUCCCAUAUCCGGCAACAAAUCUUCAGGCUAAUGCUUCAUGUUUUUCUCCUACUCUCUUGACUUGACAUCACUGAAAACUGAAGCUGCCCUUUUCCUGAAAUUUUGCAAGCUGAAACUGGAUGACUUGAUAUAAACUUCAGAGAACUCACUACCACAACUAAUAUAUAAGCAACCUUUGUGCCUGUUGCUGUGUAGGCCACUCAGAAAGUCCACUGGAACACCCAAUGACCUCACCAGAGACAUUCAAACUGCAAAUCAGGAAAUUGAUCAGAAUUACCACUGCUUAUCUUCACUCUCUAUCUAAAGAUGCUUUGAGCCCAACCUAUAGUACCCUUUACCAACUGAUUGCCCUCUGGACUCAAAAGCUGGGCUUAUAACUUGCCCUAAACAUUAACCUUUAUUUUUCUUUUGUUUCCAUAGAAAUGCCUCUUAUUGGGCUGGGCGCGGUGGCUC
This 2646-nucleotide long non-coding RNA is filed under the name Homo sapiens (human). RNAcentral describes it as "HSALNT0344100". Lineage: Eukaryota; Metazoa; Chordata; Mammalia; Primates; Hominidae. The record is from RNAcentral.